Molecule: ribosomal RNA, 497 nt
Filed under: uncultured bacterium
Lineage: Bacteria
Description: partial 16S ribosomal RNA
Rfam family: Bacterial small subunit ribosomal RNA
Source: RNAcentral
GAUGAACGCUGGCGGCGUGCCUAAUACAUGCAAGUCGAGCGAACGGACGAGAAGCUUGCUUCUCUGAUGUUAGCGGCGGACGGGUGAGUAACACGUGGAUAACCUACCUAUAAGACUGGGAUAACUGCGGGAAACCGGAGCUAAUACCGGAUAAUAUUUUGAACCGCAUUGUUCAAAAUUGAAAGACGGUCUUGCUGUCACUUAUAGAUGGAUCCGCGCUGCAUUAGCUAGUUGGUAAGGUAACGGCUUACCAAGGCAACGAUGCAUAGCCGACCUGAGAGGGUGAUCAGCCACACUGGAACUGAGACGCGGUCCAGACUCCUACGGGAGGCAGCAGUAGGGAAUCUUCCGCAAUGGGCGAAAGCCUGACGGAGCAACGCCGCGUGAGUGAUGAAGGUCUUCGGAUCGUAAAACUCUGUUAUUAGGGAAGAACAUAUGUGUAAGUAACUGUGCACAUCUUGACGGUACCUAAUCAGAAAGCCACGGCUAACUACGUG